UAGGGAAUCUUCGGCAAUGGGGGCAACCCUGACCGAGCAACGCCGCGUGAGUGAAGAAGGUUUUCGGAUCGUAAAGCUCUGUUGUAAGAGAAGAACGUGUGUGAGAGUGGAAAGUUCACACAGUGACGGUAACUUACCAGAAAGGGACGGCUAACUACGUGCCAGCAGCCGCGGUAAUACGUAGGUCCCGAGCGUUGUCCGGAUUUAUUGGGCGUAAAGCGAGCGCAGGCGGUUUAAUAAGUCUGAAGUUAAAGGCAGUGGCUUAACCAUUGUUCGCUUUGGAAACUGUUAAACUUGAGUGCAGAAGGGGAGAGUGGAAUUCCAUGUGUAGCGGUGAAAUGCGUAGAUAUAUGGAGGAACACCUGUGGCGAAAGCGGCUCUCUGGUCUGUAACUGACGCUGAGGCUCGAAAGCGUGGGGAGCAAACAGG
Molecule: ribosomal RNA, 429 nt
Filed under: bacterium
Lineage: Bacteria
Description: partial 16S ribosomal RNA
Rfam family: Bacterial small subunit ribosomal RNA
Source: RNAcentral